RNAcentral lists this ribosomal RNA (465 nucleotides) under uncultured bacterium. Its description in RNAcentral is "partial 16S ribosomal RNA". It matches the Rfam family "Bacterial small subunit ribosomal RNA", at positions 338 to 795 of the family's 1533-position model. The record is from RNAcentral.
CCUACGGGAGGCAGCAGUGGGGAAUAUUGCGCAAUGGGCGAAAGCCUGACGCAGCGACGCCGCGUGAGGGAUGAAGGUCUUCGGAUCGUAAACCUCUGUCAGCAGGGACGAACGGUCACUGUGCUAAUCAGCAGUGAAUUGACCGUACCUGCAAAGGAAGCACCGGCUAACUCCGUGCCAGCAGCCGCGGGAAUACGGAGGGUGCGAGCGUUAAUCGGAAUUACUGGGCGUAAAGCCCUCGGAGGCGGUAUGUCAAGUCAAGGGUGAAAGCCCCGCGCUCAACGUGGGAACUGCCUUUGAAACUGGCAAACUGGAGUGUGUGAGAGGAUAGUGGAAUGCCAGGUGUAGGAGUGAAAUCCGUAGAUAUCUGGAGGAACAUCAGUGGCGAAGGCGACUAUCUGGCACAUAACUGACGCUGAGGAGCGAAAGCGUGGGUAGCAAACAGGAUUAGAUACCCCUGUAGUC